CAGCCUACAGCAGAUUGGACUCAGCAGAUUAGAAAGGCCUGAGGGACUGCUUCCAGAAGGUCCACUGACAGCAGGAAAAAAUGACAGGUCUCAGCCCGACAACAAGGGAGGCAAGAGAAAGACUAUAAAAACCAGUAACAAAAUCUCAAAAGGCACAGCAGUCUGGGUCAUUUAUUAAAAGACAAAGAGCCCACCUCAGGUUCUAACGUUCCCAUGGACCAGCCCUGCUGCCGUGGUCUCUAUGACUUUGAGCCAGAAAACCAAGGCGAAUUAGGAUUUAAAGAAGGGGACAUCAUUACGUUAACCAAUCAAAUAGAUGAAAACUGGUAUGAAGGAAUGAUACAUGGGGAAUCUGGAUUCUUCCCCAUUAAUUAUGUUGAAGUGAUCGUGCCUUUACCUCAGUAAAUGUGUAACACAAACUUUGGACAUACUUUCAUAACUGAAAUGAAUUCACACCAAUGUUCUCUCAAUGUGGUGUUCUGUGACAUCCUUGCUCUCUGACCAACUUAAUGACUUUUGUAUGUGUGUUCUCUUUAUAAUGUAUUUUGUAUCAAUUUAAUUUGUAUAAAUGAUUUUCUUGUCCUAGCUACAUGAAAAUAUAGAUUUCUUUUUUGCUUGUUGCCCUAAAAGUCAUUGGUUAAAUGUAUGUGCUUCCACCCAUUGCAGUUAUGUCAAUGAACUGCCGAUAUUCCUCAGCUGCAAUGGAAUGUGACAUUUGAAACUAGGAAAUGCUAAAUAUUUUGACAUUACUGAUGGCAUCUAGUCUUUUUCCUUUAUUGUAUUUUAAGCUUACCUGUGAAUAGCCCAAUAAAUAUGACACACUGUGUUGGCAAGAGGCCUUUA
Carlito syrichta (Philippine tarsier) is the source of this 843-nucleotide long non-coding RNA. RefSeq lists it as uncharacterized. The transcript has 2 exons. The record is from RefSeq and is a predicted model, not a curated record. NCBI's taxonomy places the organism in Eukaryota, Metazoa, Chordata, Mammalia, Primates, Tarsiidae.